AACGAACGCUGGCGGCAUGCCUAACACAUGCAAGUCGAACGAGACCUUCGGGUCUAGUGGCGCACGGGUGCGUAACGCGUGGGAACCUGCCCUUAGGUUCGGAAUAACUCCCCGAAAGGGGUGCUAAUACCGGCUAAUGUCUUCCGAACAAAGAUUUAUCGCCUUUGGAUGGGCCCGCGUUGGAUUAGCUAGUUGGUAGGGUAAAAGCCUACCAAGGCGACGAUCCAUAGCUGGUCUGAGAGGAUGAUCAGCCACACUGGGACUGAGACACGGCCCAGACUCCUACGGGAGGCAGCAGUGGGGGAUAUUGGACAAUGGGCGAAAGCCUGAUCCAGCAAUGCCGCGUGAGUGAUGAAGGCCGUAGGGUUGUAAAGCUCUUUUACCCGGGAUGAUAAUGACAGUACCGGGAGAAUAAGCACCGGCUAACUCCGUG
Molecule: ribosomal RNA, 433 nt
Filed under: uncultured bacterium
Lineage: Bacteria
Description: partial 16S ribosomal RNA
Rfam family: Bacterial small subunit ribosomal RNA
Source: RNAcentral